Sebastes umbrosus (honeycomb rockfish) is the source of this 1205-nucleotide long non-coding RNA. RefSeq lists it as uncharacterized. Lineage: Eukaryota; Metazoa; Chordata; Actinopteri; Perciformes; Sebastidae. The record is from RefSeq and is a predicted model, not a curated record. The transcript is spliced from 3 exons.
UGAACCUCCAGCACACACAGGUUCUCUCAGCACGCCUGUAAAGAUGGCAUCCUCACAUCUCUCAGAGAGGCCAGAACACAACUUUCUAACAGGCCUGACGAUGACGAGAAGAAGAAGUAGAAAGUCCAGCAGCAGAGUCUCACCUGAGACCGAAGACAGCGUCCCGACAUCACGUCCCCGAGGAACUGACAGCUGAUGAGAGCUCCAAACAGUCAAACAUCCAUCAGUCGUAUACAGCAGGAUGAAGGGGUUGCUAUUACGACAACGAUGCCUCUCCGACCCCGGUGCCAUUCCUCUGACUCCUCUCGACCACACUAAUCUCCUGAAGGAUGAACCUGGUAAACCAGAGAGCAGAGCACUGAUGCUUUUCUCACCAGCAGGUGAGAUCUUGAUCUUUAAUCAGAUUACUGGAAGGUGGACCUGAGAAGUCUGGAGACGCAGGAAAUCUGUGACUGUAGUUGAAGAGCUAUUUGUAUUAAAGUACAAGUAAACCUCUUAUUACAGACAGGAAUAGAACGAGGAGGAGGUAAUUUACUAAUCGUAAACGUUCACGUUGUUGUUGGCUUCUCAUCAUCUCUCAGACAACAACAACAAGAUAGUAGAUAAAUCAGAUAAACAUAUUAAUAUAUGAAAAUAUCCUGAUAAACUGUGUGAAAAUGGAACAAAUGAAAGGUGAUAAAUCAGCAGCUGCAGCAGAGAAGAAGCUGCAGGUCUGUUUACCUGUCUGUCUUAAAAGCUUAGCCUUAUUGUACAUCGACUCAGUAAGUAAAAGGUUGUCUCUACCUUUAAUUAAUCACUGAUUUAAUGCACCACCCGGCUAAUACGUUAAGUGACCCAAAACAAACACACCCAUGAUGACCAACAGGUGAAUACAAUAUGCUAAAUGCUGAAAUGCUCCCAGUGGAUCCUCAAGAAUGAUUUCAGGCUGAGUGGUGUACUGGUUAUAUAUUAUUCUUUGAGAAUGAUCACGUAAAGAAGUUGAACCUGGAGCAGAUUAAAGAGGAAGACGUCAGGCAGAUGGGUGAAGUUGGGUGUCAUCUUGAUAUGACGUUGAAUAUAAGAUAAGAUAGACCUUUAUUAAUCCAGAGGGAAAUUGUUGUGCUGCGGUUGCAGUACAAAGAAGAAAAGAGUGCAAAUAAAGCAAAACAAUAAAGAUAGAAUAGAAAGCUUUAUUGUCAUUGUAUUAAAUACAACGAGAUUCAUAG